Molecule: long non-coding RNA, 2596 nt
Organism: Anthonomus grandis grandis
Lineage: Eukaryota; Metazoa; Arthropoda; Insecta; Coleoptera; Curculionidae
Exons: 5
Source: RefSeq, a predicted model, not a curated record
CUAGUCCCCUUUUUUUAGGUCGAACGUCGAACGUUCGUCACUAGUGUCACUGUCAAAUAUCCGUCAAUGUCAAAUUCCUAAAAAUGAAAACAAAAUUAUGUAGAUUGAAUUAAACUGUAAUGAAUUCCCAAAAUUCAUCGUUAUUUAAACGGUGAUAAACUUUAAUUAAUUAUUAUUAUUUAUUUUGAAUGAAAGCAACUGAUCCUGAAUGAUCAGUAAAAAUACCAAGAGAAAAACAAUAUACCAAAUGGAUGAAAGUUUCAAAGCCAAUAACCUCAAAAAUGGGCCCCCAAUUUUUACUUGGAUUUGAUCCAAUUUCCGGCAUACUGGAAAAGAAAAGAGGACUAGAUACUAGAGAUUUAGCCUUAACAGAAAAAUUAAUAUAGUGGCAGAUCAGAUCAGUCAAAAAAAUGUGAUUUACUGCAUCAGAAAUAAAAACAGUGAGGUAUCAAUUAAAAUUCUGAAAAGACCAUGAGAAGCAGUGUGGUGGUACAGAUUCUUCCAAAAUGUUUAAAGAAGUUGGAGCACAAUAUUAAAAUCAAAUAAGUGAAAAGAAGGCAGGCCUCCAGAUAUUGGAAAUAAUUUUCCCAUAUUUUAGACCCAUUAUGGUACAACUAAAAUAAAAGACAAAAAUACAAGGUCUUCAACCUCUUUUGAGUAACGGUAAACUUUCACAAUUCUUUUUUUCUUCUGUUUCGUUAAUCAUAGGCAGAUGGCCACUGUUAGCAUCGUCGAUAGCUUUUCUAAGCUCUCGUCCACCAACGACACCAAUCAGUUUUCCAAUAACCGUUACAUACGCCAUAUUCAAAUGCAUCAUGGAAAAAAGAGAAUGGACUUUCAGUAGCGAGGUUCUCUCUACUAAUUGAAAUGGUGCUGGAUCCACUUGACAGUCGGCAAAGUCAAUUUCUUCACUUAACUGCUUUUGUUCCCAUUCGAGUUGCUCUUGUUUUGGUAAGUCACAUAUACGGAUUUCUGAUAACUGAAAUAUAGAGCAUAUUAGCUGGAGGAAAUCGAUAAGGAGAAAUUAAAGUGUCUUAAGGAUAAGACAAAAAUAUGCUUGGAUGCUUUAGUAUGUACCUUUUCUCUUAUCGCCUUCUUUUUCCUAUUCGAGCUAUCUGGAAAUCCCAUUCGGUUUAAAUUGUACUUUUUAAAUACUCUGUUUCUCACUUCGUCUUUUUCCUAAAAUAGUUAUUGAUUAUUUUAACAUAGAGGCUAAAAAUAAAGGCUUUUUUAGAAAUCAAAUUGUAUUUUCUUACUUUUAACUCAUUUGUCUCUUCAUUACCACUUUGAUCUUCUGGAUUUUUAGUCUCAUAUUCAGGACGCUUUUCAAUGCUCUUUACUACUUCCAUUCUCCUCCAAAAGCCGAUUUGUCUUUCUACUAAGUCUAUUAACUCGGUUCUCGCUACACUACCCAAUAAAAUCAUAUUUUGGUUAUUAUCCACAAAUGGAAACACUUUAAUAUUUUUAUUAGCCUUAAGAAUCCCUUUUAGUUCUUCGUAUGUCAUUCCUAAGUAGAUGUAUUUGACGUUUUUGUUCAUAAAAUCUUCGACGCAUAUUUGGUAAAUUGCUAAAAACAGUUUCAGUUAGUAGGAUUAUACAAUUUUCUUUUAAAGGAGGAAAUCCUGAGGGAUACACCAAAAGCAGAUGCUCUACCAAAUAUACCCAAGGCUUAUUACUUCAUGAUGGUGCCUUUGAGGGAACACUUUUUUUUUCAAGAAAAUUAUUUUUUAAAAAUUGAGUAGGGAGCAGUCGCUUAGAUUAACAAAGUCUUUCUAACGUUACCAUAAGAUCUCCAUAACACUAGGGUAUUAUGGAGAUAGCGCGAGGACUUGUGGACUUUUUAAUUACUUUAGACAUUCCAGAUUGAUCGUUUUAUUAUGAAUAAUUUGCUAAUUUCUUUUUGCAUAGAUAGUGCCACUUUAUUGUAAGCUUUGUUUAUUUAUAUGUUAGGUAUUUUGUGAAUGUUAUGGUAAGUUUUUUGUUGAAUUUUCCUUUCUUCGUGUUACAUCAUCAUAAUUAUUGUAGGUCUGAUGAUGCCCUAGUCGGGCGAAACAUGUAACGUUCGUCUUUUUAUUAAAUGUUUUACGUGAUGCGGUAGAUUUGAUGUUUUGUCUUGUUUUUUAUAAAACGUAUGACCAGCAUCGUUGUGAAAUUGGAUGAAUUUUUCGAUUUAUAUUAGAGUUUACCUACCACUACUACUAGGAAGUAAAUCCGGUAAAAACGGUAAUUUUCCCGCCUGUAUGGCCAAAUCAUAAAUACUGGGAGUGAAAAACCGGGCGAUUCCAUUAGCGAUAAGGUUAGAAAUUAAAACCGGGAUUACGUGGCUAAUUUGUGAGGUCAUUUCAAACAUAAUCACGCUGGUUGAUAACGUGUGAGUUACAGCACCACUCCAGGCGGACGCCCCUACUGUUGCGUACGCACCAGGAAACCAGGUUGCCAUAAGUUCACCCGCUAUCCUUCCCAGAGCAGCACCAGCUCGGAAAUUUGGUAUAAAAGAUCCGCAAGGGAUAGGCAUUGAAGAAGCAAAUAUUGACGCCAAAAACUGAAAACUUAGUAAUCGCACAAAAGCAAUAUGGAUAUUUAUAGAUAGCUCACC